Molecule: ribosomal RNA, 253 nt
Filed under: uncultured bacterium
Lineage: Bacteria
Description: partial 16S ribosomal RNA
Rfam family: Bacterial small subunit ribosomal RNA
Source: RNAcentral
UACGGAGGGUGCAAGCGUUAUCCGGAUUCACUGGGUUUAAAGGGUGUGUAGGCGGGUAUUUAAGUCAGUGGUGAAAUCUCCGGGCUCAACCCGGAAACUGCCAUUGAUACUAUUUAUCUUGAAUCUUGUUGAGGUAGGCGGAAUACAUCAUGUAGCGGUGAAAUGCUUAGAUAUGAUGUAGAACACCGAUUGCGAAGGCAGCUUACUAAACAAGCAUUGACGCUGAGGCACGAAAGCGUGGGGAGCAAACAGG